RNAcentral lists this ribosomal RNA (408 nucleotides) under uncultured bacterium. RNAcentral's name for it is "partial 16S ribosomal RNA". It matches the Rfam family "Bacterial small subunit ribosomal RNA", at positions 28 to 526 of the family's 1533-position model. The record is from RNAcentral.
GACGAACGCUGGCGGCGUGCUUAACACAUGCAAGUCGAACGAAGUGGCGAACGGGUGAGUAACGAGUAAUCAACCUGCCCUUCAGAGGGGACCAACAGUUGGAAACGACUGCUAAUACCGCAUACUGAAGGAGGGGAUUGCGUCUGAUUAGCUCGUUGGCGGGGUAACGGCCCACCAAGGCGCUGAGCAGUAGCCGGUCUGAGAGGAUGAACGGCCAAAUUGGGACUGGGACACGGCCCAGACUCCUACGGGAGGCAGCAGUGGGGAAUCUUCCGAAAUGGACGAAAGUCUGACGGAGCAACGCCGCGUGAGUGAUGACGGCCUUCGGGUGGUAAAGCUCUGUUAAUCGGGACGCGGUACCGGAAUAGAAAGCCACGGCUAACUACGUGCCAGCCGCCGCGGUAAUUC